Molecule: ribosomal RNA, 301 nt
Filed under: uncultured bacterium
Lineage: Bacteria
Description: partial 16S ribosomal RNA
Rfam family: Bacterial small subunit ribosomal RNA
Source: RNAcentral
CAGUCGCCGCGGUAAUACGAAGGGGGCUAGCGUUGCUCGGAAUUACUGGGCGUAAAGGGAGCGUAGGCGGACAUUUAAGUCAGGGGUGAAAUCCCAGAGCUCAACUCUGGAACUGCCUUUGAUACUGGGUGUCUUGAGUGUGAUAGAGGUAUGUGGAACUCCGAGUGUAGAGGUGAAAUUCGUAGAUAUUCGGAAGAACACCAGUGGCGAAGGCGACAUACUGGAUCAUUACUGACGCUGAGGCUCGAAAGCGUGGGGAGCAAACAGGAUUAGAUACCCCGGUAGUCCCUGUCUCUUAUAC